RNAcentral lists this long non-coding RNA (3274 nucleotides) under Homo sapiens (human). Its description in RNAcentral is "HSALNT0101459". The record is from RNAcentral. Lineage: Eukaryota; Metazoa; Chordata; Mammalia; Primates; Hominidae.
CCCAGGAUGGAGCAGCAGAGUGAGACCCUGGAGUGCAGUGACACAAUCAUAGCUCACUGCAGCCUCAACCUCCUGGUCUCAAGCAAUCCUCCCACCUAAGCCUCCCAAGUAGCUGGGACUACAGGCGCAUGCCACCAUGCCAGGUGUUUUAACUUGGCUUAUAAACUCUAUCAGAUCUGUUAUUACAGAGAACUGAAGUAAUCCAAAAGAAAAGUAUUCGGAGACUUUGAGUAGAUUCUCAAAACAACAGACACCCAAAUGCUGAAACAUUGACGCCCUCGCUACAGUCAGUACAGGAAAAUGUGAAUAUUAUCCUGGAUGCCAUCAUAGUGAUACAAGUUGCAAAGGUGAGAGCUUGUAUUUGUCAAAGUGUAGAAGUGGUUCUUCUUACAUCAUAAAACAUGGAUGCUAACAUCUAGAUGACUUACCUUAAAAUCCCAUUUUUUUCUCUUUUGAUCAUAAUAAUGCAUUUUGUGGUACAAAUAAGAGAGGCUAUUUUCUUUGCCAAAAUAGCUUGAGAGUGAUCAGAGCCGAGAUAUGGAAACUAUGGAAUACCUCAUAUUUCUUCUCCUGAAAGCUGAUUACCCAGAUAUCCAAAUUCAUUAUUCUGUAGUUUAUUCUCAGUGUAUUUUCCUAAGAUUUGGAAAUUAGACAAGUUCAUACAUGGGGCCCAGAGUUUCAAGCACUUCCUGUAUUAACAGUAGAUUACAAAGAUAGCAUGAAAAAUCGGAAAAGAAUUGAAGAUGCCAACUAACGCACCUAAAAAUCAAUUUCAUGAACUUGUCAUGUUGAAAAGUCAAAUAGAAAAUAAUUUAUGUGUGAUAUCAGUACCAUCUUUUCCUUUUUUUCUUAAAACAAAAAUUUCCCUUUUAUUUAAAGAAAAGAGAAAAAUAAGAGAAAAUAAAGUAUAUGAAGAAUCACACUCAGAAAUUGCUUCUUCCUGUCGUGCCUCAGGGAUGUGAAGCAAAAAAAUAACAGGCAUAUUGAUCAUAAAGCUGACAGGUUAUUGGUGACUCUAAGAGAUCUAUUGUCCCAUCCCCAACUAGCAGCAAAAGUUCUGAUGACAUGUGAAUUGAUAUGAAAUCAGGUUUCAUAGUGAUUUCAAAGAAGGUUUUCAGUUUAGUUCAGGGCUGAAGGAAAUGUCUGUUUCUUUGGAGAGGAAAGAUGAUGUGACAUAGUGAUUGAGUCUUGAACCAGGGGCCAGAGUACGUGGGUUCUUCCCUCAAUCUCACCUCUUGGGUUCUUUGUGACUUGCUAUCUCUGAUCUUCCAUUCUUUCCUUCUUAAAGAAUAGUGCGUGCCAUGCCUGCAUCAAAAGAGUCUUGCGAGGAAGAUCCAGUGAGGAAAUGUGUAUAAUUGCCUAAUAAUAUAUAAACAGUACUGUGCAAGUAGAAGGUGUCAUUAAUAACAUCAGAAUGCCUUUGCGAUUACAAAUGUGGGUGACACUGUGUGCAUGAGUACUGCAGGAUGUGGCGUCCAAUCACAUGGUGGCCCUCCCCGGUGACUCAAGAAAGGAUGCACAUCUCAGCACUGAAGGAGACCUGAUUUUUCUAAAGUGAAGAAGUAAAAAUGAUGCCAGAGACCAAACUGCAGUAUAACAUUAUUCAUGGGGGAGUCUGUAUCACAGGACAUUUAAAGGGAGAAAACUUACGUAUAAAAAAAGAAAAUGUGCUUUCAACUAGAACAGCAAGAAAAAUGAUUUUUUUUAAUUCCAGUAAAAAUUUAAGCCAAAACGAAACAAGAGAAACUUCAGGAGUCUACCAAUCCUAGUUGUAAUCCUUUUGAAAAACAGGAAAACUUGAGAACAAGAGAACAAACAAGGUAGAACAAAGUUGUUUUUACUGGUCUAACAUCCUCUGUAGUAUUAAUUAGAUACAUGAAACACCCAGAAGGAGAACUAAGUGAGAGAAAGAGAAGGAAAGGCAAAUUUAAAGGAUGUGACUCCUGUUCUGUGGAGCAGACUCGCUUUAGCAUCCUCUUCUGUUUAUUAAAUAUUGUGUGCAAAUGUCUGGGGUGCCAGCUACGUUAUGGAGUUCUUGGAGAUAUGUUCUACAGUGAUCUUUCAGAUAAAAGCCCUUCUUUUUUAGAUGAGAAGUUUAACUGAGUUAACUAAGUUUUAAUCAAUUAAUUUAAUCUUGUCCUACUUGGACUAGAAUUUAGAUGAUGUCCUGAUUUCUCAUCUUUUUGCCACCUUUCAUGGUUUUUCACAUUUAUAAGAUAAGAUCAUUUAAUUAUGGGACAGUGAUUUCAACUCAUUUUUGGAUUCGUCUAGCCAUCUACACUCAAAAUCGUAGUGUGGCACAUACCUCUAAUAUUCAUAUAUAAGCCCAAAUUAACUAUAUCGUAAUAAUUUUGUUAUAUCCCUUGAGAUACAAUAUACAAAAGCAAGAGAUAGAAUUUAUGGUUGUAUUUGCCCAUGUGAAGUUACUGAAGUUUGAACAAUAAAUAGCUAACAAAAAUAAAUUUAAAAGAAUUUCAGAUAAUUAAACUCAACAUUAUUUUAAGGAGCUACAGUGGCAGGGAUUCCAGGCCAAAUCACAUUGUAAAGAUAGAUAGAUAGAUAGAUAGAUAGAUAGAUAGAUAGAUAGAUAGAUAGACAGACAGACAGACAGACAGACAGACAGACAGACAGACUGAUUUGGGGGGAAGUGGGAGCAAUUUGUCAGAACGUAAAAGAGAACUAUUUGAAUUCUGUCAAAUCAUUUUACCUGGGGAACACUUAGAUGUUGGAGGAUUACCUUUUCCUUUGGCUUCAAGAGAAAAUAGGCAGUGUUUUCAGCAAACAUCAUGAUUUUUGAUCUCUCAAAGCCUUUGUAUUGAGAAUACAGAUGAUAUAUUUGUCUCUAUUUUGUACUCGGAUCUGGAAUUUCCUAGAAACUUACCACAAAGGGCUGUUGUCCAUUCAAGAUGGAAUCACAGGCAGGCAGACACACCUUGCCUUUAGCUUUCUGCCUGGGGCACUUUCCACACUGUGGUGUAAGGCGUUCACCCAGAUUGACAGCAGUGGUCUUGCUGGGUGGAGGGAACAGUAGAGUUCAGGGCCACUGACGCAGCUAUAAUUUUUGAAGAGGCAUAUCCAGAGAGGAAAAAGCUGCACGGAAGCGUAGCUCUAGAAAUCUGCAUAUAGGUUCUUUUGAGUCAUUGGCAUGCACAUGUGAAACUCCAUGAUUUCUGGCAGAGAAGGGCUAUAAGAGGCUCUGAGUUGAACUGGGACACUGCAGGUUCCACAGUGCUGAGGGGCACUGGCGUUCUGACCUGGCAGAGUGGAGUCAUUU